CCUACGGGAGUCAGCAGUGGGGAAUAUUGCACAAUGGGGGAAACCCUGAUGCAGCGACGCCGCGUGAGGGAAGAAGUAUUUCGGUAUGUAAAGCUCUAUCAGCAGGGAAGAAAAUGACGGUACCUGAUUAAGAAUCAGCGGCUAACUACUUGCCAGCAGCCGCGGUAAUACGUAGGUGGCAAGCAUUAUCCGGAUUUACUGGGGGGAGAGGGAGCGGAGGCGGCAGCACAAGUCUGGAGUGAAAUGCCGGGGCUUAACCCCGGGACUGCUUUUGAAACUGUGCAGCUAGAGUGCAGGAGAGGUAAGUGGAAUUCCUAGUGUAGCGGUGAAAUGCGUAGAUAUUCGGAGGAACACCAGUGGCGAAGGCGGAUUACUGGACUGUAACUGACGUUGAGGCUCGAAAGCGUGGGGAGCAAACAGGAUUAGAUACCCCAGUAGUC
Molecule: ribosomal RNA, 440 nt
Filed under: uncultured bacterium
Lineage: Bacteria
Description: partial 16S ribosomal RNA
Rfam family: Bacterial small subunit ribosomal RNA
Source: RNAcentral